GGUUGGUUCUCCCGCAACGCUACUCUGUUUACCAGGUCAGGUCCGGAAGGAAGCAGCCAAGGCAGAUGACGCGUGUGCCGGGAUGUAGCUGGCAGGG
Molecule: signal recognition particle RNA, 97 nt
Filed under: Escherichia coli
Lineage: Bacteria; Pseudomonadati; Pseudomonadota; Gammaproteobacteria; Enterobacterales; Enterobacteriaceae
Also listed under: 1 other name
Description: signal recognition particle sRNA small type
Rfam family: Bacterial small signal recognition particle RNA
About the family: The signal recognition particle (SRP) is a universally conserved ribonucleoprotein involved in the co-translational targeting of proteins to membranes. Archaeal SRP consists of a 7S RNA and homologues of the eukaryotic SRP19 and SRP54 proteins. In most bacteria, the SRP consists of a 4.5S RNA and the Ffh protein (a homologue of the eukaryotic SRP54 protein).
Source: RNAcentral